This 497-nucleotide ribosomal RNA is filed under the name uncultured bacterium. Its description in RNAcentral is "partial 16S ribosomal RNA". It matches the Rfam family "Bacterial small subunit ribosomal RNA", at positions 28 to 507 of the family's 1533-position model. The record is from RNAcentral.
GAUGAACGCUGGCGGCGUGCCUAAUACAUGCAAGUCGAGCGAACAGACGAGGAGCUUGCUCCUCUGACGUUAGCGGCGGACGGGUGAGUAACACGUGGAUAACCUACCUAUAAGACUGGGAUAACUUCGGGAAACCGGAGCUAAUACCGGAUAAUAUAUUGAACCGCAUGGUUCAAUAGUGAAAGACGGUUUUGCUGUCACUUAUAGAUGGAUCUGCGCCGCAUUAGCUAGUUGGUAAGGUAACGGCUUACCAAGGCAACGAUGCGUAGCCGACCUGAGAGGGUGAUCGGCCACGCUGGAACUGAGACACGGUCCAGACUCCUACGGGAGGCAGCAGUAGGGAAUCUUCCGCAAUGGGCGAAAGCCUGACGGAGCAACGCCGCGUGAGUGAUGAAGGUCUUCGGAUCGUAAAACUCUGUUAUUAGGGAAGAACAAAUGUGUAAGUAACUAUGCACGUCUUGACGGUACCUAAUCAGAAAGCCACGGCUAACUACGUG